ACUUAAAUUGAAGAGUUUGAUCAUGGCUCAGAUUGAACGCUGGCGGCAGGCCUAACACAUGCAAGUCGAGCGGUAGCACAGAGAGCUUGCUCUCGGGUGACGAGCGGCGGACGGGUGAGUAAUGUCUGGGAAACUGCCUGAUGGAGGGGGAUAACUACUGGAAACGGUAGCUAAUACCGCAUAAUGUCGCAAGACCAAAGUGGGGGACCUUCGGGCCUCAUGCCAUCAGAUGUGCCCAGAUGGGAUUAGCUUGUAGGUGGGGUAACGGCUCACCUAGGCGACGAUCCCUAGCUGGUCUGAGAGGAUGACCAGCCACACUGGAACUGAGACACGGUCCAGACUCCUACGGGAGGCAGCAGUGGGGAAUAUUGCACAAUGGGCGCAAGCCUGAUGCAGCCAUGCCGCGUGUGUGAAGAAGGCCUUCGGGUUGUAAAGCACUUUCAGCGGGGAGGAAGGCGGUGAGGUUAAUAACCUCAUCGAUUGACGUUACCCGCAGAAGAAGCACCGGCUAACUCCGUGCCAGCAGCCGCGGUAAUACGGAGGGUGCAAGCGUU
Molecule: ribosomal RNA, 554 nt
Filed under: Klebsiella pneumoniae
Lineage: Bacteria; Pseudomonadati; Pseudomonadota; Gammaproteobacteria; Enterobacterales; Enterobacteriaceae
Description: bacterial SSU rRNA
Rfam family: Bacterial small subunit ribosomal RNA
Source: RNAcentral